This 233-nucleotide ribosomal RNA is filed under the name uncultured bacterium. RNAcentral's name for it is "partial 16S ribosomal RNA". It matches the Rfam family "Bacterial small subunit ribosomal RNA", at positions 524 to 754 of the family's 1533-position model. The record is from RNAcentral.
UACGUAGGGUGCAAGCGUUAAUCGGAAUUACUGGGCGUAAAGCGUGCGCAGGCGGUUUUGUAAGUCUGUCGUGAAAUCCCCCGGGCUCAACCUGGGAAUUGCGAUGGAGACUGCAAGGCUAGAAUCUGGCAGAGGGGGGGUAGAAUUCCACGUGUAGCAGUGAAAUGCGUAGAGAUGUGGAGGAACACCGAUGGCGAAGGCAGCCCCCUGGGUCAAGAUUGACGCUCAUGCAC